CCCUUAGAUGUCCGGGGCUGCACGCGCGCUACACUGAAGGAAUCAGCGUGCUAAAACCAUUGUCGAAAGGCAUUGGUAAACCCAUUAAAAUCCUACGUGAUUGGGAUCGGGAAUUGCAAUUAUUUCCCUUGAACGAGGAAUUCCCAGUAAGUGUGGAUCAUAAGCUCGCGUUGAUUACGUCCCUGCCCUUUGUACACACCGCCCGUCGCUGCCCGGGACUGAGCCGUUUCGAGAAAAGCGGGGACUGCUGCUGUCGGGGCUUUCGGGCCUUGGCUUCGGUGGAAACCGCUUUAAUCGCAGUGGCUUGAACCGGGCAAAANUCGUANCA
Molecule: ribosomal RNA, 328 nt
Filed under: uncultured eukaryote
Lineage: Eukaryota
Description: partial 18S ribosomal RNA
Rfam family: Eukaryotic small subunit ribosomal RNA
Source: RNAcentral